UUGUUUGGUUGGUCGGAUCCCUGCUUGUGCAGCGACGGCCACUCUGUUCAUCCCUUUUCAUUGUUGCUCCAAGAGCAAUGCGCCUUGGACUAACUCGGGUGCCUGUGUUGUAUACCUACGUUGAUGGAAUUCGGUCGUCCAAUCGCCCCUUAUUCACCUUGCGCUGCCCACGCGGCGUGGGAUGAACCAUGUAGUGUCCUUUGUUGUCCAUUCGUGCCUCGCAUUCACGCGUCGCAUGAGAUGGCCAACGCUGCGGCACUUGAAUUCUCGGAUACGGAACCUUAAGCAGGCAAUGGGUCUUUGGCCUUGAUUUGCCCAAAGUAAGCGUUCACGCUUCUUACGAACGACUGUCGCGCCCGUUUUGACCCGAGGAUACUUUUGGUC
This 384-nucleotide unclassified non-coding RNA is filed under the name Osmoxylon geelvinkianum. Its description in RNAcentral is "partial contains external transcribed spacer and 18S ribosomal RNA". Lineage: Eukaryota; Viridiplantae; Streptophyta; Magnoliopsida; Apiales; Araliaceae. The record is from RNAcentral.